GAUGAACGCUGGCGGCGUGCCUAAUACAUGCAAGUCGAGCGAACAGAUGAGGAGCUUGCUCCUCUGACGUUAGCGGCGGACGGGUGAGUAACACGUGGAUAACCUACCUAUAAGACUGGGAUAACUACGGGAAACCGGAGCUAAUACCGGAUAAUAUAUUGAACCGCAUGGUUCAAUAGUGAAACACGGUUUUGCUGUCACUUAUAGAUGGAUCCGCGCCGCAUUAGCUAGUUGGUAAGGUAACGGCUUACCAAGGCAACGAUGCGUAGCCGACCUGAGAGGGUGAUCGGCCACACUGGAACUGAGACACGGUCCAGACUCCUACGGGAGGCAGCAGUAGGGAAUCUUCCGCAAUGGGCGAAAGCCUGACGGAGCAACGCCGCGUGAGUGAUGAAGGUCUUCGGAUCGUAAAACUCUGUUAUUAGGGAAGAACAAAUGUGUAAGUAACUAUGCACGUCUUGACGGUACCUAAUCAGAAAGCCACGGCUAACUACGUG
This 497-nucleotide ribosomal RNA is filed under the name uncultured bacterium. RNAcentral's name for it is "partial 16S ribosomal RNA". It matches the Rfam family "Bacterial small subunit ribosomal RNA", at positions 28 to 507 of the family's 1533-position model. The record is from RNAcentral.